RNAcentral lists this ribosomal RNA (468 nucleotides) under uncultured bacterium. RNAcentral describes it as "partial 16S ribosomal RNA". It matches the Rfam family "Bacterial small subunit ribosomal RNA", at positions 28 to 507 of the family's 1533-position model. The record is from RNAcentral.
GACGAACGCUGGCGGCGUGCUUAACACAUGCGAGUCGAACGGAAAGGCCCUGCUUUUGUGGGGUGCUCGAGUGGCGAACGGGUGAGUAACACGUGAGUAACCUGCCCUUGACUUUGUGAUAACUUCAGGAAACUGGGGCUCAUACCGGAUAUGAUCUCCUGCUGCAUGGUGGGGGUUGGAAAGUUUCGGCGGUUGUGGAUGGACUCGCGGCUUAUCAGCUUGUUGGUGGGGUAGUGGCUUACCAAGGCUUUGACGGGUAGCCGGCCUGAGAGGGUGACCGGCCACAUUGGGACUGAGAUAGGGACCAGAAUCCUACGGGAGGCAGCAGUGGGGAAUAUUGCACAAUGGGCGGAAGCCUGAUGCAGCAACGCCGGGUGCGGGAUGACGGCCUUCGGGUUGUAAACCGAUUUCGCAUGUGACGAAGCGUGAGUGACGGUAAUGGGUAAAGAAGCACCGGCUAACUACGUG